ACAAAAGGGGAGUAUGGGUAAAGACCCUGCAACACUAUUGGCACAAGCCUUAUUUACCCCUAAUUUUUAAAAUUUAGAUGACAAAUUUCAAUCAGCUGUAGAAAAGCACUUUGCUAAAACCUCUCAAGGCAUAAAACCUGCAGUUUUAUGGAAAGAUGUGAACAGUAAUAAAUGGUGUGGUCCAAAUGAAUUAUUAUCAUGGGGAAGAGGGUAUGUUUGUGUCCACACCCCCUCAGGUCCUCUUUGGAUUCCAGCAUGAUGCAUCAAACCAUACCAUGGUGUAGCUAGGACCGAAUCCGGUACCAGAAAUAAAGGAGUUAACCCUGCAAGACCCACAGCCCCGGACAAUGUGGCUUCCGCAGAUGACAUGAGGCCCACAUGUUACCUCGGGGAUGCUGAAGAGGACAACUCAGGAGGCUGAACGAAUCCUGCUCUGGACGCAAACACCAUUUACUCCAGAUAAUUUGUUUCUUGCUAUGUUUUCUGUUGUACACUGCAACUCAUAUAAGGAUGCAAAGCUGGAAUAAGAGCAAUGACUGCCAUGCCUGACAAACCUGUUGCUGCACACAUCUGCGCUCUCCAAUGCAAAAGACCUGAUGCAGAAAAUAAAAAAGUGGGGGAAUAUGGGGGUUCAGUCAGGCUGGUGGGAAAAAUUUUAGUUAUAAUAGCCACAAACCUUCUUGGAAGGCCUGAGAGUUUGCAUAACUUUGGUAAUAAAUCUGACUGAAGGCAGCCUAAUCCCCUUACCUUUAGUUAAAUAAAUUAGAGUAGAAACAAAGGAGUGUAGGGAGUUUAUCUAACUAAUUUGUUUAAUCACGUGGUCUUAAGACUAACCUUUGUUCUACUGAGGGUGCUUAAUUGCUUUCUACUUGGGAGGUCCACAAUGUCAAUUACACAAUGUCAAGUGUAGAAAAAUUGGAUGUUUCAAAAAAGAACACUGCCAGACCUCUGGGCAGAAGGGAGCUUAUAGCACAAUUCCCCUCUCAAAAGAAAAAACACCAGGACUUUGCCCUCAUUGCAAUAAAGGAAAUCAUUGGGCUAAUCAAUGCCACUCAAAAUUUCAUCAAAAUAGCACGGGAAGCGAAAAGGGGACCUGGACCCAGGCACUUCAAACUAUGAGGGCAUUCCCUGUCCAGGCCACAACUGUGUUUCAGGGGUGGGUUUCCAGAGGCACAUUGAUUCCCUCUCCUCAGGAACACCUGGAAACGCAGGAUUAGAUCUCCUAGAGAAAAAAUUAUGUUAAUUGAAAGAAACAAACUCGCUAAGAUUCCCGUUGGUAUUUGGGGGCCUUUGCUAACAAUAUACAUGGGACUGAUUUUGGUAAAGGCUGUCUUAACUUACAGGUCCAGGAGUUAUUGAUUUUGAUUGUGAAGGAGAAAUUCAGGUAGUGGUAAUGUCACAAGAUCUUUGGGUUUUGGAACCAGGAAAGUGUAUUGCUCAGUUGUUGCUUAUUUCCUGUAAAUUGUACUCUUCUCUAAGUAAGAAGAAGUGAGGAGGUCAGGGAUUGGGGAGGUACAUUUAGGAGAGAAAUUUAUCACAACCCAUAGCAUCUCAUAGACCCAAUUGUGCAGUGUAGAUUUAAGAAAGGAAGUUUUGUGGGCUUAUGGAUACAGGAGCAAGAGACUGGUCUCUUGUGGUAAUAGAUCUUGAGGAUUGUUUAUGAGAAGGAUAAGCCUCCAUUUGCUUUUUCUGUGUCUUCUGUUAAUCAGAAAGAGCCUGUCUUUCAUUAUCAGUGGAAAGUUUUACCCCGUGGCAAUUGGCUAAAGAGGCAGAAGCGGAGUUACAGAUGCUUCAGCAAUGGCAUGCCUCCUGGCUACAGCCACAAAAACCUUUGCUUUUGUAGAUUUACUAAUGCGGGGUAGAGAGUAUGCUUGUGUUUUUGCAGGAGAUGAACAAACCGUGUGGGUGCCCUCAAGAUGUGUGCGAUCAUGGAAAGGGAGACUGGAGGGACCCAUGGAUUCCAACUACAGGCCUGGUUCUCCCAGUACGAGCCAUGAGCCAGUUGAAUCUGAAUGCGAAAACAGAACGAGGUCUGACUGGAGUCAUGCUGACACCAACCCCCAUGACAUGGGGACAGAUCAAGAAAACCACACAGGAAGCUGAGAAACUGCUGGAGCAUCAGGGUUUUUUACCUUGUGCUGGAACUCAGAGGUACAAUCGAUGCUUAAUGGACCCGUGCUUUCUGACUGAGCUCCUCUCUACCCUGAAUACAAGAGAACCUAAUAGGCAGGAGUAUCUUCGCCCCUGUUCAGCAUGAAGAAGUUGCAGAAUAUGGACAUUCAUCUUUCUGCAACCCUUAGGAUUAAGGGUCCUCUUGUAAAAGGGAAGAGGGAAAUAUGUAAGAAGCAUUCAAACCAGAGUGACUCCAUUUUGAAUAAGGGCUAAGAAAAAUGAAGCUGGAUCACCAACUGGCAAUUAAGGGCUGCACACUCUGCAAUUGCCUUGCUCAAUUAAUUUAAAAACAAAAAGAAGGAGAUGUUGGAGGCCGCACAAAUGUUUCUUAUGAUUAGGCAUAAUUGAAGCCUGUUAGUAACAAUAUGAACCUGUGAUCAAUUAAGCACCUGACCAAUCAUUACCUCCUCCUUCUUGCUCUUGUUACCCAAUAAAUACGAAGUGCUGUAAAA
This is a long non-coding RNA of Macaca mulatta (Rhesus monkey), 2624 nucleotides long. RefSeq lists it as uncharacterized. The record is from RefSeq and is a predicted model, not a curated record. NCBI's taxonomy places the organism in Eukaryota, Metazoa, Chordata, Mammalia, Primates, Cercopithecidae.